GACGAACGCUGGCGGCGCGCCUAACACAUGCAAGUCGAACGAGCGAGAGAGAGCUUGCUUUCUCAAGCGAGUGGCGAACGGGUGAGUAACGCGUGAGGAACCUGCCUCAAAGAGGGGGACAACAGUUGGAAACGACUGCUAAUACCGCAUAAGCCCACAGCUCGGCAUCGAGCAGAGGGAAAAGGAGUGAUCCGCUUUGAGAUGGCCUCGCGUCCGAUUAGCUAGUUGGUGAGGUAACGGCCCACCAAGGCAACGAUCGGUAGCCGGACUGAGAGGGCGAACGGCCACAUUGGGACUGAGACACGGCCCAA
RNAcentral lists this ribosomal RNA (311 nucleotides) under uncultured bacterium. RNAcentral's name for it is "bacterial SSU rRNA". It matches the Rfam family "Bacterial small subunit ribosomal RNA", at positions 28 to 334 of the family's 1533-position model. The record is from RNAcentral.